GUGGGGAAUCUUCCGCAAUGGACGAAAGUCUGACGGAGCAACGCCGCGUGAGUGAAGAAGGUUUUCGGAUCGUAAAGCUCUUUCGUUGGGGACGAACGUGCUCUUUGUGAAUAAUGAGGAGUAAUGACGGUACCUAAAUAAGAAGCCACGGCUAACUACGUGCCAGCAGCCGCGGUAAUACGUAGGUGGCAAGCGUUGUCCGGAAUUAUUGGGCGUAAAGCGCGCGCAGGCGGGAUAUCAAGUCUGUCUUAAAAGUGCGAGGCUCAACCUCGUGAGGGGACAGAAACUGGUAUUCUUGAGUGUCGGAGAGGAAAGUGGAAUUCCAAGUGUAGCGGUGAAAUGCGUAGAGAUUUGGAAGAACACCAGUGGCGAAGGCGACUUUCUGGACGAUGUCUGACGCUGAGGCGCGAAAGCUAGGGGAGCGAACGGGAUUAGAUACCCUGGUAGUCC
RNAcentral lists this ribosomal RNA (450 nucleotides) under uncultured bacterium. RNAcentral's name for it is "partial 16S ribosomal RNA". It matches the Rfam family "Bacterial small subunit ribosomal RNA", at positions 354 to 796 of the family's 1533-position model. The record is from RNAcentral.